Molecule: ribosomal RNA, 513 nt
Filed under: uncultured bacterium
Lineage: Bacteria
Description: partial 16S ribosomal RNA
Rfam family: Bacterial small subunit ribosomal RNA
Source: RNAcentral
AUUGAACGCUGGCGGCGUGCCUAAUACAUGCAAGUCGAGCGAACAGAUAAGGAGCUUGCUCCUUUGACGUUAGCGGCGGACGGGUGAGUAACACGUGGGUAACCUACCUAUAAGACUGGGAUAACUUCGGGAAACCGGAGCUAAUACCGGAUAACAUUUGGAACCGCAUGGUUCUAAAGUGAAAGAUGGUUUUGCUAUCACUUAUAGAUGGACCCGCGCCGUAUUAGCUAGUUGGUAAGGUAACGGCUUACCAAGGCGACGAUACGUAGCCGACGUGAGAGGGUGAUCGGCCACACGGGAACUGAGACACGGUCCAGACUCCUACGGGAGGCAGCAGUAGGGAAUCUGCCGCAAGGGGCGAAAGCCUGACGGAGCAACGCCGCGUGAGUGAUGAAGGGUUUCGGCUCGUAAAACUCUGUUAUUAGGGAAGAACAAAUGUGUAAGUAACUGUGCACGUCUUGACGGUACCUAAUCAGAAAGCCACGGCUAACUACGUGCCAGCAGCCGCCGUAA